CAUGUUUCCAGUCCAUCCUUCUUUCAAUCCCCAUUAUCAAUUGCAGAAAUUCUUAUUAUCUUCUCCUAUUUCUUAGAUUUAGGGUUUUCAAUGGAGAUUUAUAUACCUGGAAAUUCAGAAGAUGUAGGAGGUGGAUUCCAUCUCUGACAUGUAUCGAUCUAGGGUUUUUUUCAUCCAUUGCUCUACAGUCUUUGAUUGCUACCUAAACCGAUUGGAGACAGUAAGGCUAUUGAGAUUCCGUAAUCAGGGUUUUCACUUGGAACAACGGUGGUGGCGUUAUUGUGGCUAUAAGGUGGUUAGCGGCGGCAAGGAUCCAAAUCCCGAUUUAAAAAUAUGUCCCAUUAGGUGAAAUCUUGACAUUUGGUGAUGAUAGCUUUAUAAAGUAUAAGGAGACUCGUGUCAAGCAAGUGCAAAAUUUUGAAAUUGUUCUUGUGGCAGGAGGGCUUGGGGAACAUCUUGGAUACAAUGGAAUAAAGUUUACAACUGCUAUUACGAAUCAGAUAUGGAAUGAGGUUGACUAUCGGAUAUCGGGAUCACGGGAUGUAACUAAUAUAUAUGAUUUUAAUACUGUACCUUUAUUGUAUUCUUAUAUAUUUAUAUAUUUUUCGAACUGAAUGAUGUAUUUUGUGCUUUUUAUUAUUAUACUUGCAAUGUGUUUAAUACUGUACCUUUUUGUUUCUAUGAAAUUUUAAUAUUUUGACUUUUACUUUGACUCUAGCUGUCUCUUUCAAACUGUAAAAUCCAAGGCGUCGAUUCUUCAAUCAAAUCAUGUAUGGGGUUAAGAGAACGAAGGCUUUCUCAUAAUGAGAUUCGGGUCAUCAAUUAUAUAUACUAUGUGGUGAUGACGACAACAAACUUAUGGAAAAAAUCGAGAGACACUUUCAUGGUGUUACCGAGGUAAAU
Molecule: long non-coding RNA, 903 nt
Organism: Helianthus annuus (common sunflower)
Lineage: Eukaryota; Viridiplantae; Streptophyta; Magnoliopsida; Asterales; Asteraceae
Exons: 5
Source: RefSeq, a predicted model, not a curated record